Molecule: long non-coding RNA, 430 nt
Filed under: Apteryx rowi (Okarito brown kiwi)
Lineage: Eukaryota; Metazoa; Chordata; Aves; Apterygiformes; Apterygidae
Description: lncRNA (ENSARWG00000000009.1)
Source: RNAcentral
UCUCAAAUGCCGUAUUUGUCUGAGAGUAUGUUUUUUAUUUUUUUGCAGCUCUGAUGUACGACUAUUACUUGGCAGAGACAUUCAACAGCUUCUGAUGUGCCUGAUUUUCAGUGUGAGGCUGUUCCUGGUCUCAUUGUUACUUUCCUCGCUACAUUUCUCUGGUAUAAGGAUUUCUGCCUGAGUAUGACAAUCUCCCAUCCUUGCAAGAGUCUGAAGGCUAGUAUUCUAAGCACAACCAGGUGGUGAUCACAUGACCACUGGAAAGAAACCAAGUAGACAAGAAACAGAUUUCCUGUGUAAAAAAAUCCAAGAAAAUAAUACUGAAGAAAUCAAAGAUUAUAAAAACAAAUUAUUUUCUCUGGUUCCUGUUUAUGGCUUCUUACUCCAGUCUGGUUCCCUACUGCUCCUCUCGGGGAAUAACUUCAGGUAA